This 1249-nucleotide unclassified non-coding RNA is filed under the name Hevea brasiliensis (rubber tree). The record is from RNAcentral. Lineage: Eukaryota; Viridiplantae; Streptophyta; Magnoliopsida; Malpighiales; Euphorbiaceae.
UUUUUUUUUAAAAAAAAAAUUUAACUGUUUUAUCCAUAUUCUACUUUAGAUUCCAGAAUUUCCAUUUUAAUGCCAAAAACAUAAUCAGCUUAAGCAUCAACGUUCCCUCUGAAUUAAAAAUAAUUUAAUUUUUUAUUUAAAAAAAAUUUAACUUUAAGAAUUUUCUUAAAAAGUGAUUGACGUACAAGGUAAAAUCGGUCUACAUCAUCAAAUACAAUUUUUUUAUUAAAAAAAAAGUAUUAUUAGGAUGAUUUUUUUUUUCUUGGCUCAUGCAAGUAUAUGAAUAUGAAGGAAAAAAUUGCUUAUUCAUGGAAACAAGAAGAAGGCAGAAAACAUCCAGUUCUUUUACGGCUCUUGUAUGGGGCAUCAAUUAUAGAUUCCAAAAUGAAGGUGACAAAAACCGUAACUUUUAACGCAAAAUGGAUAAUUGAAAAAGACUUCUAUCAUUGCUUGUGUCCACAACAUAAUUUAAACCUCAACAAACCCUGCAUCUUAAUAAGCUAAAGUUACAAGGAAAACGAAAAUGAAAAUGUUACUUCAAAAAAAGUAUCACCUUUAGCUAGAGUUCAUACCCAAAUUAUUGGGGAGUAAAAACUAAAAAUGGUUGGAGGAGAAUGAUUAUCAGUUACCCAGCAAAACGAUGCAGCCGCCUCAAUGUCUAGUUGAUAAGCAACUCACAAUUAAGCAAAGACUAGUUCCUGCGAUAAAUGCAGAAAAGGAAAAUAGCCAGCCUUGAAUUGCAGAAAAUGAUUCGCAGACAAUUCAGAUGGUCAGGGCUUAAAUGCAGAAAAGGCCACAACCGAGUUGUGUCCACCAAAUCCGAAGGAAUUUGAAAUGGCAACAUUCACUUCGUGCUGCUGCUUCUUAUUGGCAACAGUGUUAAAUUCAACUGAAGGCUCUGGAUCCUGCAGGCAUGGCAAAGAAUCUUUCAAGUACAGACUCGUGCAAGAUGAUCUUAAUUGAUUAACAAAUUAAAAUAUCAGCUAAAAUAGAAAAUGAUCUAACACAUACAAAUUGGUUAAUUGUAGGAUGCAACCAUCCUGUGGUUAUGGCCUUCACACAGGCAAUUGCUUCCAAGCCUCCAGCAGCACCAAGGCAAUGCCCUAUCAUAGACUUGGUUGCGUUGAUUUUGAUCUCAGAAGUAUUCUUGAAUACUUUUUUUAUAGCAUUUAUUUCAGCGAGGUCACCGGCAAGGGUGGAAGUUGCAUGCGCAUUUAUGUAGUUAACCUCCUCAGGUGACACACCAGCA